GACGAACGCUGGCGGCGUGCUUAACACAUGCAAGUCGAACGGAAAGGCCCUGCUUUUGUGGGGUGCUCGAUUGGCGAACGGGUGAGUAACACGUGAGUAACCUGCCCUUGACUUUGGGAUAACUUCAGGAAACUGGGGCUAAUACCGGAUAGGAGCUCCUGCUGCAUGGUGGGGGUUGGAAAGUUUCGGCGGUUGGGGCUGGACUCGCGGCUUAUCAGCUGGUUAGUGGGGUAGUGGCUUACCAAGGCUUUGACGGGUAGCCGGCCUGAGAGGGUGACCGGCGACAUUGGGACUGCGAUACGGCCCAGACUCCUACGGGAGGCAGCAGUGGGGAGUAUUACACAAUGGGCGGAAGCCUGAUGCAGCAACGCCGCGUGCGGGAUGACGGCCUUCGGGUUGUAAACCGCUUUCGCCUGUGACGAAGCGGGAGUGACGGUAAUGGGUAAAGAAGCACCGGCUAACUACGUG
Molecule: ribosomal RNA, 468 nt
Filed under: uncultured bacterium
Lineage: Bacteria
Description: partial 16S ribosomal RNA
Rfam family: Bacterial small subunit ribosomal RNA
Source: RNAcentral